This 636-nucleotide ribosomal RNA is filed under the name uncultured marine eukaryote. RNAcentral describes it as "SSU rRNA". It matches the Rfam family "Eukaryotic small subunit ribosomal RNA", at positions 616 to 1253 of the family's 1831-position model. The record is from RNAcentral.
UGGUUAAAAAGCUCGUAGUUGGAUCUCGGCGGACUGAGGGCGGUUUGCUUGCUAGUAUUACUGCCCUAUAGUCCGUAGUUUUGCCAGAGGUUUCGGGGUGCUCUUAAUCGAGUGUCCCGGGAUGCUGGCAGGUUUACUUUGAAAAAAUUAGAGUGCUCAAAGCAGGCUAUUACGCCUGAAUAUUCGUGCAUGGAAUAAUAGAAUAGGAAGUCGUUUCUAUUUUGUUGGUUUUCGGAAAUCGACUUAAUGAUUAAUAGGGACAGUCGGGGGCAUUUGUAUUCAAACGACAGAGGUGAAAUUCUUGGACCGUUUGAAGACAAACUACUGCGAAAGCAUUUGCCAAGAAUGUUUUCAUUAAUCAAGAACGAAAGUUAAAGGUUCGAAGGCGAUUAGAUACCGCCCUAGUUUUAACCAUAAACGAUGCCAGCUAGCGAUCUGCGGACGUUUUUUUUGUAGACUCCGCAGGAAGCUUCCGGGAAACCAAAGCAUUUGGGUUCCAGGGGAAGUAUGGUUGCAAAGCUGAAACUUAAAGGAAUUGACGGAAGGGCACCACCAGGAGUGGAGCCUGUGGCUUAAUUUGACUCAACACGGGAAAUCUCACCAGGCCCGGACACUGGAAGGAUUGACAGAUUGAUA